CCUACGGGUGGCAGCAGUGAGGAAUAUUGGUCAAUGGGCGCGAGCCUGAACCAGCCAAGUAGCGUGAAGGAUGACUGCCCUCCGGGUUGUAAACUUCUUUUAUAAAGGAAUUAAGUGCGGCACGUGAGCCUUUUUGUCUGUACUUUUUCAUUCCGGCACGGCUAAUUCUGCGCCAGCAGCCGCGGUAAUACGGAGGAUCCGAGCGUUAUCCGGAAUUAUUGGGUUUAAAGGGAGCGUAGAUGGGUUGUUAAGUCAGUUGUGAAAGUUUACGGCUCAACCGUAAAAUUGCAAUUGAUACUGGCAGUCUAGAGUACGGUAGAGGUAGGCGGAAUUCGUGGUGUAGCGGUGAAAUGCGUAGAGAUCAAGAAGAACUCCGAUUGCGAAGGCAGCUUACUAAAAUGUCACUGACAUUGAUGCGCGAAAGUGUGGGUAGCAAACAGGAUUAGAUACCCUAGUAGUC
Molecule: ribosomal RNA, 460 nt
Filed under: uncultured bacterium
Lineage: Bacteria
Description: partial 16S ribosomal RNA
Rfam family: Bacterial small subunit ribosomal RNA
Source: RNAcentral